Molecule: ribosomal RNA, 517 nt
Filed under: uncultured bacterium
Lineage: Bacteria
Description: bacterial SSU rRNA
Rfam family: Bacterial small subunit ribosomal RNA
Source: RNAcentral
AGAAUUUAGCAGAGAUGCUUUAGUGCCUUCGGGAACUCUGAGACAGGUGCUGCAUGGCUGUCGUCAGCUCGUGUUGUGAAUGUUGGGUUAAGUCCCGNAACGAGCGCAACCCUUAUCCUUUGUUGCCAGCACGUAAUGGUGGGAACUCAAAGGAGACUGCCGGUGAUAAACCGGAGGAAGGUGGGGAUGACGUCAAGUCAUCAUGGCCCUUACGAGUAGGGCUACACACGUGCUACAAUGGCGCAUACAAAGAGAAGCGACCUCGCGAGAGCAAGCGGACCUCAUAAAGUGCGUCGUAGUCCGGAUUGGAGUCUGCAACUCGACUCCAUGAAGUCGGAAUCGCUAGUAAUCGUAAAUCAGAAUGUUACGGUGAAUACGUUCCCGGGCCUUGUACACACCGCCCGUCACACCAUGGGAGUGGGUUGCAAAAGAAGUAGAUAGCUUAACCUUCGGGAGGGCGUUUACCACUUUGUGAUUCAUGACUGGGGUGAAGUCGUAACAAGGUAAGCGUAGUGCU